Molecule: ribosomal RNA, 253 nt
Filed under: uncultured bacterium
Lineage: Bacteria
Description: partial 16S ribosomal RNA
Rfam family: Bacterial small subunit ribosomal RNA
Source: RNAcentral
GACGUAGGGCGCGAGCGUUGUCCGGAUUUAUUGGGCGUAAAGAGCUCGUAGGCGGCUUGUUGCGUCAGCUGUGAAAACCCGCAGCUCAACUGUGGGCUUGCAGCUGAUACGGGCAGGCCUGAGUGCUGUAGGGGAGACUGGAAUUCCUGGUGUAGCGGUGAAAUGCGCAGAUAUCAGGAGGAACACCGGUGGCGAAGGCGGGUCUCUGGGCAGUUACUGACGCUGAGGAGCGAAAGCAUGGGGAGCGAACAGG